GACGGUAACAGCCCGGUAGUUGAAAUGGCUUUCCCUCCAGAGUGGAUCCUGAGUACGGCGGAACACGUGAAAUUCCGUCGGAAUCCGGGAGGACCAUCUCCCAAGGCUAAAUACUCCCUAGUGACCGAUAGUGAACCAGUACCGUGAGGGAAAGGUGAAAAGCACCCCGGAAGGGGAGUGAAACAGUUCCUGAAACCGUGUGCCUACAAGUAGUUAGAGCCCGUUAAUGGGUGAUAGCGUGCCUUUUGUAGAAUGAACCGGCGAGUUACGAUUUGUUGCAAGGUUAAGCGGAAAAAGCGGAGCCGUAGCGAAAGCGAGUCUGAAUAGGGCGCAUAAGUAACAGGUCGUAGACCCGAAACCAGGUGAUCUACCCAUGUCCAGGAUGAAGGUAAGGUAAUACUUACUGGAGGUCCGAACCCACGCACGUUGAAAAGUGCGGGGAUGAGGUGUGGGUAGCGGAGAAAUUCCAAUCGAACUUGGAGAUAGCUGGUUCUCUCCGAAAUAGCUUUAGGGCUAGCCUCGAGGUAAAGAGUCAUGGAGGUAGAGCACUGUUUGGACUAGGGGCCCUUCUCGGGUUACCGAAUUCAGAUAAACUCCGAAUGCCAUGUACUUAUACUCGGGAGUCAGACUGCGAGUGAUAAGAUCCGUAGUCGAAAGGGAAACAGCCCAGACCACCAGUUAAGGUCCCCAAAUAUAUGUUAAGUGGAAAAGGAUGUGGGGUUGCUUAGACAACCAGGAUGUUGGCUUAGAAGCAGCCACCAUUGAAAGAGUGCGUAAUAGCUCACUGGUCGAGUGACCCCGCGCCGAAAAUGUACCGGGGCUAAACAUAUUACCGAAACUGUGGAUGAACCUCUUUAGAGGUUCGUGGUAGGAGAGCGUUCUAAGGGCGGUGAAGUCAGACCGGAAGGACUGGUGGAGCGCUUAGAAGUGAGAAUGCCGGUAUGAGUAGCGAAAGAAGGGUGAGAAUCCCUUCCACCGAAUAUCUAAGGUUUCCUGAGGAAGGCUCGUCCGCUCAGGGUUAGUCGGGACCUAAGCCGAGGCCGAUAGGCGU
This 1051-nucleotide ribosomal RNA is filed under the name Listeria monocytogenes. Its description in RNAcentral is "partial 23S ribosomal RNA". It matches the Rfam family "Bacterial large subunit ribosomal RNA", at positions 360 to 1412 of the family's 2925-position model. The record is from RNAcentral. Lineage: Bacteria; Bacillati; Bacillota; Bacilli; Caryophanales; Listeriaceae.